This is a non-coding RNA of Phyllosticta capitalensis, 95 nucleotides long. Lineage: Eukaryota; Fungi; Ascomycota; Dothideomycetes; Botryosphaeriales; Phyllostictaceae. The record is from the annotation of a GenBank genome assembly.
GGGUUGGUGGUGUAGUGGUAACAUGUGCCGCGGCUACAGUCUUUCCCGCGGGCACGUCCCAGGUUCGGGUUCGAGUUCGAGUCCUGGCCGACCUG